AUCUAAGUACAUACCUUAAAACGAUGAAACCGCGAAUGGCUCAUUAAAUCAGCUAUGGUUUCUUAGAUCGUAAAUGCUACAUGGAUAACUGUAGUAAUUCUAGUGCUACUACUACAUGUCUUGAAUCCCUGACCCGCAAGGGGACAGGUACAUUUAUUAGAACAGAACCAAUCGGGUGCGGCUUCGGUUGUGCCUGUUACAUUCUGUGAUGACUCUAAACAUUUAGAUGUUUUGAUAAUCAAUAUCUAUGUCACCCUUCUUCAAUCACAAAAAUUUCCUACUUCUUCAACAG
RNAcentral lists this non-coding RNA (292 nucleotides) under Schistosoma haematobium. Its description in RNAcentral is "Eukaryotic small subunit ribosomal RNA". It matches the Rfam family "Eukaryotic small subunit ribosomal RNA", at positions 57 to 321 of the family's 1831-position model. The record is from Rfam by way of RNAcentral. Lineage: Eukaryota; Metazoa; Platyhelminthes; Trematoda; Strigeidida; Schistosomatidae.